UACGUAGGGGGCAAGCGUUGUCCGGAUUUACUGGGUGUAAAGGGUGCGUAGGCGGGUUGGUAAGUCAGUGGUGAAAUCUCAUAGCUUAACUAUGAAACUGCCUCUGAUACUGCCAAUCUUGAGUUCAGAAGAGAGAGAUGGAAUUCCAGGUGUAGUGGUGAAAUACGUAGAUAUCUGGAGGAACACCAGAGGCGAAGGCGAUCUCUUGGUCUGUAACUGACGCUGAGGCACGAAAGCGUGGGUAGCGAACAGG
This 253-nucleotide ribosomal RNA is filed under the name uncultured bacterium. RNAcentral describes it as "partial 16S ribosomal RNA". It matches the Rfam family "Bacterial small subunit ribosomal RNA", at positions 524 to 776 of the family's 1533-position model. The record is from RNAcentral.